GAAAUAAAUUCCAAAAAAUUAGCAAACUGAAUACUAUACAAUUUAAUGAUAGAGUAUGUUCCAACAGUUAAUGAUAUUUCUAAUUUUCAUUAUAUGGAAAAAUGUUGCCUGUGUACAUUUAAAAAAGAGACUAAAGGCUAAAUAGUCUUAAUGUUUUGGGAAUAGCACAAAAUGAAUGAACAUGCUUACAAGCAUGAGUUUUGAGGCCAAAUAAUAUAGGGAGCAACAAAACAAAAAUGACAUUCCUAUCUUUAUUACUUUUGUUAUCCUAUCUAUAUUUUUACGAUGUCAAAGAUUAUCUAAUAGAAAUAUUGUAUGGAAAUGAAAAAAAGACUGACCAGGAAAUGAAAACAGAAAACCAAAAAUAAAUCUCUGUCCCCAGCCAUUGUGAGAGGGGACAAGGAAGGAAGAUAUUCAGAUGACAAUAACAGUACUUCCAAUCACUUAGUAUAAACACAGUGCUCCAACUGCAGAGCAGCAGCCUGAGGUAGUGAGGACAGAGUCACUUACAUGUUCUCAGAUGAAAAGUUAAAUACAACUUUGCUUAACUCAUACAUAAAAGUCACUUUCUUUACCCCUUACCAUUCUCCCAGUGGUUAGAAUUUAGAACAAGUUCUAAAUCUGUCUCUAAUUAGCUUAUGUUUUGAAGAAUGAGUAUAAAUGGCAUUAGUGUACAUUACAACACAGCCUUGAAAUGAUACCCCCAACAACCCCAUUCCCAGCAUUACCCCAUGCUGCAGUACCAACAAACAAGGUCCCCUUAUUUGCAUAAUAUAUGAACUUUGGUUUGUACAUGUUUAUGGAACAUGGGUGGAGAUUUUUUAAAUACUGUUUGCAAGAUUGGAGAAAGACUCAAGUGUCCCCAUCUUUGGAUGUGUCUGUGAAAGAAGGCUGCUGAAAUAACUGAGUUUGAAUAGAGAGUCCAUGAAGGAAAUUGGUGUUAUCCCUGACAGCUUAUCUUUAAGCCCAAGGCUUUCCUCUAAUUGUCUGUUGUUGAUGUUGCUGUUGUGGUUAAAUAUAACCCCAAGGAACUUGGGAGCAUGCCCUUGGGUGGCAUGGCAAGAGGACGAUGGUAGCUUUCUGUUUACUAUCCAGGCUGUUUGCCUCUCCCUGGAACACAGCUAUAAAUGAUUUUCUAAGUCCACUUAAGCUUUAAAUCAAGAACUACACUCUCCCUCUAGAGCCUAGCUGUGCCUGUAGGGUCAUUCAUUCUUAAGGAAUAAAAUAGGUGAAAGAGAUGCCUGGCCACAAUUUUCAAAGCCUUGGUCUGCCAGGUUAGUUUGCAAUGGAGUCAACAAAACCAUCAUAUGGAUAAAGUACUGUGAAAUUAGAUGAAAAGAAAUAGUCCCUGAAACACAGAAGAGAUCCGCUCGUACUUAAAACAUCCAACACCAUGCCCCUAGCAUAUGUUCAUCCAUCUGUGUAAAUAACCCACCUUGUAUACAGUAAUGCUGCUCCAGAACUCAGUGUCCAUUCACUUAGCUGUGUCACCAGAGCAGCAAGAAUCAAGACUCCAUAAAAAUCGAUCAAAUGUUAAUUAUAAACUAAGAUGAUUUGGUAUUAGAAAGAUCAGAGCUUGGUACAUGGAAGCUGCCAUAUUGUGGCUACUGACUAUUAUUUGGGGAGGGGGAAACUCUGGGUUUGAUAACCUUUCAUUACUCCUGAACUUCUAAGAGUUCUUUUGACAUGAAUGCUGUCCAAGUCUACUACAUUUUCUCAAGCUAAAUAGAUUAUAAUCAGUUCAAUAGGGUUUAAUGUAUACAUAUUUGUGACAUGAAUAUCAGAAUAUAAUCAAUCAAACACACAGGGAGACUGAUAAGAGUGUGGAGGGGGAUGGGAAGGUUUAGAAACCAUAGGAGGACAUCAAGCAUCCUGCUCUAUCACACUUCACCCUAUUCCUUUGAGGGAGUACUUCUAUCCGAGGCUGGAGAAAGGCUUGCUGGCAGCAAGCCUCAAUGCUGCUUCUGUGAUCCACAGUGUUUCACAGUGCUGGGGUAGCAGCUGUAUGUGCAGCCACCCCGAAAGAGGUCUUACUCUACUCGGAUGCUCAGAACUGAACUCAGUUCCUUAUGCUUGUAUAGUAAGUGUUAUUACCCAACUGGAUGUCUCUCCAGACUCCAGCCAAGAACAUUUAAGAAACAAAUUAUAAUUUGCCCUGGUCUGUAAUUAGAGGUCUCUAAUCACAGCUACAACAGGGGCCAGAGGCAAGAGAUUCAGAAGUUGGGCUGCCUGGGCCCCUUAGUGAAAGCAUGUCUUAAAAUAGAAACAUUACAAAAUGUGCUGGAACACUUGCCUGGCAUAUGUGGGGUUCUAGAUUCAGUCACCAGUAUUGUAAAACUAAACUAAGAUUAUAAACUAAAAUGAAACUGGAGUAUGUAAUCUCCUUCUAGAGAUUAUAGGUCAUAGAGCUGAAUCGAUGGCUCAAUGGUUUGGAGUACCUGUUACUCUUUUGGGAGUAGGGUAGUUCACUUCCCAACACCUACACAGCAACUCGAAACCAUCCAUAAACCCAGUUCUAGGGGACUCAACACCAGUUUCUGACCAGGUGUACACAUGGCACACAUACACACGCAGGCAAAACAUUUGUACACAUAAAAUGAAGAAAAUGAGAGAGAGGAUAGUCUAGGUCAAAAGCCCACAGCCUACUGUUUACUCCAUAGCAGAUUAUCCAUGAAUCUGGAAAUCGGUGGCGCCAUGAGAUUUGGAUGCAUGAAAACCACAUGCAGUUUACUGGGGAGUGGCAAACCACAUCAUGAAAGUUACAGAGCAUCAGCUUGGUGAUGUAUCAUCUGCUGAGUCAGGCAAGAUGACUGAGCAGCUCCCCACCCCCAGUCAGGCAAGAUGACUGAGCAGCUCCCCACCCCCAGUCAGGCAUUGCUGUAGUUAUGGGAAAUCAUCAGGAAGAAAAGCACACAGCCCCAUUGUCAUGGGAUUUUUAUUCUAACUUAGGGGAAAGAAAACAAAAAUAAUUAAGUAAACAAGUAAAUGUGUGGUGCCCCCUUGACCAAAACGACAUGAAUUGGGAGAAGGACAGAGAACACUGGGCAGAUGGAGGUUGCUGGUGUUUUUGUGGUCCUUUCUAAUCAAGUGCCAAUGAUGCAAAGAUGGCAAGCUAAAUGCAUCUUAGGCAGAGGAAACACAGUACCCAGGCCCUUCAGAGGUUGCACGCUUGGGAGUUUUGAAGAAAGGAGUGGGCAUAAGCAUUGAGCAGAUUGGGUGAGGAAAUAAUGGAAAAAUAAGUGAUCGGACUGGGCGUUGGUGGUGCAUGCCUUUAAUCCCAGAACUUGGGAGGCAGAGGCAGGUGGAUCUCUGUGAGUUUGAGACCAGCCUGGUUUACAGAGCAAGUUCCAGGACAGCCUCCAAAGCCACAGAGAAACCCUGUCUCCAAAAACCAAAAUAAUAAAUAAAUAAUAAUAAUAAUAAUAAUAAUAAGUGAUUGCAGAGUGGAAUGGAGAGGAGAGAGAGAGAGAGAGAGAGAGAGAGAGAGAGAGAGAG
RNAcentral lists this long non-coding RNA (3495 nucleotides) under Cricetulus griseus (Chinese hamster). Its description in RNAcentral is "lncRNA (ENSCGRG00015031757.1)". Lineage: Eukaryota; Metazoa; Chordata; Mammalia; Rodentia; Cricetidae. The record is from RNAcentral.